GGCCGACUAGCUCAGUUGGUUAGAGCGUGGUGCUAAUAUCUUCGGGUUUGAACCGUAGUAUUUGAUAACGCCAAGGUCGUCGGUUCGACCCCGGCGUUGGCCA
RNAcentral lists this transfer RNA (103 nucleotides) under Fibroporia radiculosa. It matches the Rfam family "tRNA". Rfam says of the family: Transfer RNA (tRNA) molecules are approximately 80 nucleotides in length. Their secondary structure includes four short double-helical elements and three loops (D, anti-codon, and T loops). Lineage: Eukaryota; Fungi; Basidiomycota; Agaricomycetes; Polyporales; Fibroporiaceae. The record is from Rfam by way of RNAcentral.